CAUAAGGCUAGGGAAGAGGGUUGCUAGAUAAUGUUUCCACCCCAGGUUUAACCUGUUCAUAGACAGAGAAACAAUUGGUGGAGGAACAGGCACUAAUGAGAACCAGCUGCCCAGGCAGAGACCCAGAAGAGGCACACAGCCAUCAUUCCCAGCCUUGAACAGUGCUCACACACACACACACACACAGGUGUUGAGUCAUGCAAACAUCUCUUAGAUCUGUGGGCUGAAGACGAAACGCUGCAAUCAGGACUGGCACACGGAAAUGAACUCCAGUGGAACCCCAUAAGAGAGUAUGCACAAUCUGUUUCUGCCCCAACCAUCAGUGGAAAAGGCCAUCACAGGUCCACCACUGACCACAUUAUUAGGGCAAUGGACCUUUCAGCACAUCAAGGACAUUGACAUGAGAUUAACUGCUUUAGUAGAAUAAACCAACGCAUCAAUAAGGAUGAGGAAGGAGAGAGUUGGAGUGUCAUCUUGAACAAGAGCCAAUGGUGUGGUGAACUGGUGUGUGUAGGAAGUCCUGCAAUGACCAGCAGCAUUCUACAGACUCAGUGGUUCACCCAAACACUGUUAUCGCAUUAAUGUUAGCCUCUACCUGGGUAGGAAGUCACUGACUGUCUAUUUAAUUGACUACAAUAUUAAAAAUAGAUUACUAUUUAUAAGCAUGGUCUUCAUAGCUAGUAAGUGUGAAGAAAGAAUAAUCAAGUCAUUAAUACACAGAAAGUUACAGCAAUUUGUACAGAAAAAGAAUAUUGAGUAGUCUGAUACUGAAGAGUUGUGUACAUACGAAACACAGUGUGCUUGGUUGCUCUCAUUUGUGUGUGUGUGUGUGUGUAUGUGUGUGUUAGCGCUUGGGAAUCACAGCAUGCUCGUCCAGAUUAAUUAUGCCACAAGAAGCAGGCAAGCCACAUGCCCAUCCUCUGAUGUGUUUUUCAUGUUAACACUUCACACUGCCUCAGGUACAUUACCCACUAGGAAUCACACAAAGCCCAUAGUCUUAUUUUUCUAUUAAAUUUUUAUACUUUUGUUUUUGCUCCCCCACCCAUUUUUUCCAUUUAGUUGGGUUGGGUUAUUUUUUGGCUCUCUUCAAACCUAAUGACUGAAAGGGAAAAUGAAUAAAUUGUGCAUAUAUGAAGAUAAAGAAAAAACAUAACCAUGUAUAUACGGAGAUGAAUGCAAUACAGGUGAGAAUAUUAAAUUGGACAGAUGCACUAGAAUAGUGUCUGGUUAGAGAGUUUGGCUGUUUUUCAGUACUUCACUGGUGAUGCCUGUGGCUGGUGGUGUGUUUGGUGCAGGCAUUAGAUGAAGUGACCUGGCUAGAUGACCCUGUUAUCAGCUCAGGUGUAAUUAAUGCCUGAGCAGGCAGCUCCAGGGGAAGCCUGAGGACAGUGGGCAGGACAGGGCUCCCCUGAGCCUGGCAUGCAUGGCCUUUACCUGGUCACAAACUACACAGCCUCAGGUGCCCACGAUAUAGCUGCACCUGUCACACUCAUGCCUUCCACUCCUGACCUUGCAAACAACAAUUCCCAUUAUCCUCAGCCCAAGACCUGAUCAUGAGUCACAAGACAAAAGAAACACAUUUCACCAUUCACAAUUCCCAGAUCACUGAUUGAUCACCUGGUAGAUUGACUACCAGACUUUGCAAAGCCUCACUGCAGCAUUGCACCUGUGAUGAUUCCAAGCUGGGCAAGCAGACACCUCAUGAUUAAACGAGAGAAAAUAAAGAUGCUAGCAAGACUCAAAUAAAGCCUUUUACAUGCAAUGAGAGGACAAAACAAUAUUGACCACUUGUUCAUUUCCCUUUUUGCCUGUAUUAAUGCACUUAACUAGCUGGCCAUGCAUUAUUACAUUACAUUAUCUACCACAUUUUAUCUUUAGGUUUCCAGAUAACAAAAGCAUGGAAUGGGCAAGCACUAUUGACCUUUUAGUUCCCCAUUGGGCUAGCUAAUAAAUUUAUGAUUUGUCCACCCCAGACACUAAUUAAAAUAUUUAAAAAGUGAAUGAACAUUAGUGCAGAUGAGUCAUCUUUGAGACGUCUAUAACUGGCAUAAACUAACUUUCAUUUGUCUCCUGAUUACUAGCACUUUCUCCAGCCAAGGUUGUUCAUUGUGGCUCUCUGUCAUUUAUACUACUAUUAGUACUUAAUUCAGAUCAAUUAAAUGUAGUCCUGUGGCACUUGUGCUGCACUUCUUAAAAGCUAUAGUUGUACUGUAUUCCAUCUGACUUGGAAAAAUUUUCUUCCAAUCUGUCUGACUUGUAAAUGAUUAGUAAUGCUAAGCCAGUCCCUCACUACUUCACUACUGUCUUGUCAUGGCUAACACUGAAUAACCACCUAUCUAAAGAACCUAAUGAAAACCCUUUAUCUAGUAGCAACUGUUUAGCUAAUGGAAACUGUUUCACAUUUUGCCAAUAACACAACGCUAUGUGCCCUUUUUAGGUUUCAUUCAUGCUUAAUAAAGUGUGACUUUUAGGGGAACUAUAGCUUUAAGCAGUAAUGUGACUCAAUCUUCUGCUUUGCAAGCACUUUGCUACUUUUUUUCAAACAUGGUUCUGUUCAGAGCAGCAGUACCAAGCAUGUGGAGCAAACACGCAUGCUUCAGCUUGUGCUCCACAACAGUUGCACUCUCUGCAUGGUGCUGCUUUCUCAGCAUCUCACACUGGCUGUAUUGGGAUGAGCAGCUCCACAAUGAGCUUGGUGAACAGAGCAGAUGUCUGAGAGCCACACAGGUGAGAAAGGGAGAGGACUGGCACCCAGCCGAUACCCAUUGCAACAUAAUGAAGGUCUUAAAUACAGAGAAGCAGAACUAAACCACACUGAUGGCAUCACAUACACAAACUAGGUAAUGAGUGCAGAAGGGAAUAUAUGUAACACCAUCAGUACUGUGUCAUGAGUUUUCAUAAAAGUAGUAUAAGCAGAAAUAUGAAAUGUACUUUACAUAAUGGCCAAAAAAAAAUAUACAUAAUUCUAUUCUGACAAUGUACUUAAGACAAUGUACUUGAUAAAGCUGUCACUUUAUCAUUGAACAGCAUCUUUUGGAAGUGUACAAACUUGUUCAGUUUUUAAUGUCGUUAGUUUUUAAUUUAACCUUCACUUGGAAGCUAUAUCACAUGAAAUGUAAUAACACAACCUUGUCCACAAAAACAUAAGUAUCACUUGUCAACUUGAGCAAAAUUGGCAAAAGCAGUUUUUAUAUCAGCUGACUGGGAUAAUGCAGACAUAUUCAAACAUUUUCCCCAUGAAGCCCACUUCCCACUUUUUUGAGAACUUGUGAACCUCAUAAACUGCCCAAAAAAUAAACAUGCUAAGAUA
Molecule: long non-coding RNA, 3310 nt
Organism: Pangasianodon hypophthalmus (striped catfish)
Lineage: Eukaryota; Metazoa; Chordata; Actinopteri; Siluriformes; Pangasiidae
Exons: 3
Source: RefSeq, a predicted model, not a curated record